CCACCUCCACCUCCACCUCCACCAGGGCCUCCACCUCCAUAUCCUCCGCCAGGCUAUCCACCUCCAGGCUAUCCACCUCCACCGCCACCACCGCCAGGGGCCCCUUAUCCCCCACCACCUCCGCCUGGUUAUCAAGAAUACUUCUAUGAAGGCUACCCUCCACAUCCUCCACCUUCCAUGGAGAACCGCCAAGAGGACACUGGUUGUUCUUCUUUUCUGAAGGGAUGGUAUGUAAUUCUUUAUCUUUGUAUUUUUUGGUUAAACUCUUUGUGAACGUAAGGCUGCAAAUCAAGAAAUGCGUUCUUUCAUUUGGAGUAUAUAUUUGAUUCGCUAACAGAUGAUCAGGAGCUAAUUAAUUCCUUUACAAUCCCGUCUCUUUUUUCAUUGGAUGUUAAGACUACCAAGUCAUUACAAUAUUUCUACAUAAUUCUCUCCAAGAACUUGAAUGUUCAUGACUUAUAUUACCUUCUAUAUCUCCAUAUGAUUUCGAUUGCAAUUGGAGCCAAAUUAAAAUUAAAAAAAAAAAACCCUUAUCAAACUUUGACAUAAUUUCAUUAAAGAUCAUGUAGUCCACACUCCACAGUACAGAGUACAGACUAAACAGCUCCACAAGUAAUUCACCAAACCCCUAAUGAAUUGGAAAGUAACAAAAGGCAGGCUAGCUUCAGCUUAUGGUUUACAGAGAGUGUGCUCCAAUUACAAUACCUUAUAUAUAGUUCACGAUUGUUGUCAGAAACACUUUUCUGAAAUAACAUUGUCUCAAGCUAGCUCUAAUAUAAUUUCCUGAGCUUGCACUGAAGAACUAGUUAUCUGGUAGUGUAUCUAAUGAACAUGUUUGCUAAAUUUUCAACCUGUUGGGAGAAAAGAGUAGA
This 872-nucleotide unclassified non-coding RNA is filed under the name Hevea brasiliensis (rubber tree). Lineage: Eukaryota; Viridiplantae; Streptophyta; Magnoliopsida; Malpighiales; Euphorbiaceae. The record is from RNAcentral.